UCUUGUAUUAAGAGUCCUCUUCAAUCAGCAUUGGAACUAUUGGUAAUAAUUUGGAAGGCAAUAAGAUUGUGACAAAGCCACCUAGGGGCACUUAUUGGAAGACUCAGUCAGCCAUGUGUCAAGUGGAAGCAUACCAGGAGAUGUCCCAUUGGUGAUGAAUGUCACUUUGCUCAUGGAGAUGCUGAGGUACAAAUUCUCGGUGGAGGCGUUGAAGCUGAAGCUGAGUUGAUGAGACCUGAUCUUGAUGAGGAUUCUUCUCUAUGAUGAAUGGAGUUCAAUUCAUGUUAGCCAAACAAAUAUCCUGCAAGUGAUAUGCAUCUGGCUGGUUGUUGGAGCCUGAAUAUUAAGAUGUUUCUCUAGUGUGAUUCUCAUAAUUAUCUUUCUACAAUUAUCCUUGGAGAAUAA
This is a long non-coding RNA of Lathyrus oleraceus (garden pea), 405 nucleotides long. RefSeq lists it as uncharacterized. Lineage: Eukaryota; Viridiplantae; Streptophyta; Magnoliopsida; Fabales; Fabaceae. The transcript has 2 exons. The record is from RefSeq and is a predicted model, not a curated record.